UAAUGGCUCACCAAGGCGACGAUCCCUAGCUGGUCUGAGAGGAUGAUCAGCCACACUGGAACUGAGACACGGUCCAGACUCCUACGGGAGGCAGCAGUGGGGAAUAUUGCACAAUGGGCGCAAGCCUGAUGCAGCCAUGCCGCGUGUGUGAAGAAGGCCUUCGGGUUGUAAAGCACUUUCAGCAGUGAGGAAGGUGGUGUCGUUAAUAGCGGCAUCAUUUGACGUUAGCUGCAGAAGAAGCACCGGCUAACUCCGUGCCAGCAGCCGCGGUAAUACGGAGGGUGCGAGCGUUAAUCGGAAUUACUGGGCGUAAAGCGCAUGCAGGUGGUUAGUUAAGUCAGAUGUGAAAGCCCGGGGCUCAACCUCGGAACUGCAUUUGAAACUGGCUGACUAGAGUACUGUAG
This 404-nucleotide ribosomal RNA is filed under the name Vibrio sp. R-616. RNAcentral's name for it is "bacterial SSU rRNA". It matches the Rfam family "Bacterial small subunit ribosomal RNA", at positions 258 to 654 of the family's 1533-position model. The record is from RNAcentral. Lineage: Bacteria; Pseudomonadati; Pseudomonadota; Gammaproteobacteria; Vibrionales; Vibrionaceae.